GGAUUGAACGCUGGCGGCAUGCCUUACACAUGCGAGUCGAACGGCAGCACGGGAGCAAUCCUGGUGGCGAGUGGCGAACGGGUGAGUAAUACAUCGGAACGUGCCCAAUCGUGGGGGAUAACGCAGCGAAAGCUGUGCUAAUACCGCAUAAGAUCUACGGAUGAAAGCAGGGGAUCGCAAGACCUUGCGCGAAUGGAGCGGCCGAUGGCAGAUUAGGUAGUUGGUGAGGUAAAGGCUCACCAAGCCUUCGAUCUGUAGCUGGUCUGAGAGGACGACCAGCCACACUGGGACUGAGACACGGCCCAGACUCCUACGGGAGGCAGCAGUGGGGAAUUUUGGACAAUGGGCGAAAGCCUGAUCAGCCAUGCCGCGUGCGAGGAUGAAGGCCUUCGGUUGUAAACUGUACUUUGAACGGUAACGAAAGUCUCUUACUAAUAAAGACGGAUCGAUAGACGGUACGUAAGAAGUAAGCAACCGACUAACUACGU
RNAcentral lists this ribosomal RNA (488 nucleotides) under uncultured soil bacterium. RNAcentral's name for it is "bacterial SSU rRNA". It matches the Rfam family "Bacterial small subunit ribosomal RNA", at positions 27 to 506 of the family's 1533-position model. The record is from RNAcentral.